UAAUAAAGGAACGAUUUGAACAGUAAAAAAGGGUUAUUUUGGUAUUUCAUCAACAAAAGGGUUAUUUUGGGUUUUCAUCAACACGCCGAUCCUCAAUCACCAACCAUCUGAUUGCCCAUAUACAACUGAGACAGAACGAGUGAGACACAACGAGAAAGAUGUGAGAUAAGGGAGACGAUGACGGAGAUGGCUGCGAAAAGUUCCUGUGGUUACCGGCGGCGGUUAGGGUUCCGCCAUGAAACAUGAUAUCAGCAGUCUUUUCUUUAUCAGAAUCGCUAUCAGCUGGGUUAAGUUCCAGGGUUCCGGCCGCCGUUCAACUGAAGGUAAUGACGAUUAAGAAGGCAAUGAUGGAGGUUCUGGUUAUAGGGAUGGCCGUGAAUUCAGAAACGAACUCCGGUCACUCAAAUAGGGUUCCAGCAAGCUUACGGCGUCUUUUUACACUGUAAGUUUGGUUUUCUUGAAGGUUCAAGGACCGAUGAUGAUGGUAUCGGACAAGAAAGUGAUUAGAAGAUAACGUUGAGGGCAGGAUCAGCAUGUGAUCAGGUUCAAAUGUUGCAGCAGGAAUUACCACAUGAUCAACCAAGGAUAGGCCUGCUCCUGCAGCAAUCAAGGACUCCUGAAAUGUCUGCAUUGUUUAAGGUAUGUAUGUAAUUAUCAUAACUGUGCUUAAUGGUUUUAAGAGGCACGAUUGAUGGAAUUAUCUUAAUGUGGCAGUGGCGUAUGUAGGUCCAAAGUCUUCAAUGCAUAUAAAGCCUUGGUCUAAAACCUGCUCCAUUGUCUAAUGUAUUUGUAUUUACAGCACAUAUUUAAAUGGUGUUGGUGAGAAUCAAAAAAUGUAUACAUUCCUUUAUAGGUAAGUGAAUUGCUAAAAAAAUGGGUUGACUGGUCAAACGGUCCAAAGAAGUCAGAUCAGAUUGGGGCAGCCAAUCAAUUGUUUUUUCCUCUUUAACAAUAAUUGCCUAUUUUGAAAUCCAUAAAUAAUCAAAACUGUAAUCCUGUAAAUAAUUAGCAUAGGACUAUGGGGUGUGGAAGGGCUUGGAUUGGGGGCAUUGCUCGACAUGUGGUGAGGGUGGGAUCCACAAGCUAAAACUAAAAAAUUAGGGGUGUGGUGGGGCGUCCCUUAGCUGGUCGUGUCCAGCCAUGUGGAAUUUUUUUUGUUUAAACUCUUUAAAAUUUCAUUUUAUAAAAAUAACACACUAAUUAUACUUCUAUUAAAUUUAGAAGCUUUUGAACUGUAAUUAGGGGUGUUUUAGAAAUUUGAAUAUAAAUGACACGUUGUUGCCUCAAUACCUCCACCGCUUCAUCUUUGCUUUAUCCUGCAACACGUUAGGGUUCACUCUCUCAUGAAAAUCCAUCUGAAUCAAUACCUCAAUUCUCCAACGGGUGACUAAACUACUAGAUGGUUCUGAGACGAUUUGGUAUUCUCUCACUCUCUCAUGCUUUAUCCGACCGGCAAAUCUUCAUCGACCAGCGGUGGUGGGGAAUCAAACAUCCAUCUACAUGAUAUGCUUCCUCUAUGCCUCAAAAUCGAUUUUCUCAAUAUGAAUUUCAACGCCCAGACCAAUUCCAAGAUUACUUUAGAUUAAGAGAGAGAGAGAGAGAGAGAGAGAGAGAGAGAGAGAGAGAAACUUUAGAGUUUGAGCAGGAGAGAAAGACGGGCCGAAUUCCUCACAUAGGUCAACCUUCUUUGGUUGGAUUUCGAUUUCUGCAACCAUUGUAAAGAUGAUAAUGAUGUGCUGCAGGUGAACGAUAGUGACACA
This is a long non-coding RNA of Helianthus annuus (common sunflower), 1760 nucleotides long. RefSeq lists it as uncharacterized. NCBI's taxonomy places the organism in Eukaryota, Viridiplantae, Streptophyta, Magnoliopsida, Asterales, Asteraceae. The record is from RefSeq and is a predicted model, not a curated record. The transcript has 3 exons.